Rhinopithecus roxellana (golden snub-nosed monkey) is the source of this 2542-nucleotide RNA transcript. It is a transcript of the gene named phosphodiesterase 4D interacting protein, with no coding region annotated. The record is from RefSeq and is a predicted model, not a curated record. NCBI's taxonomy places the organism in Eukaryota, Metazoa, Chordata, Mammalia, Primates, Cercopithecidae. The transcript is spliced from 9 exons.
UCUGGAUGUAGCCGCUGAUUGGCUGGCUCGGGCGCAGCUUGAUGGCUUCAGCCUGGAGGGCCGUAGUCCCGGCUGCCGCACCAGGGAGAAGGCAGCAUGUGUGAGAGUCGGGUGGCCUCAGCGUGCCGUGGCCUCGGGGAGUGGGAAGUGGAGGCAGCAGCCCUCCUUGCACUUCGCCAUGAGUUUCCUGAUCGACUCCAGCAUCACGAUUACCUCCCAGAUACUGUUUUUUGGAUUUGGGUGGCUUUUCUUCAUGCGCCAAUUGUUUAAGGACUAUGAGGUAACCUCGGUAUGUUGUACAGGUGAUCUUCUCUGAUAUUUGCAUUUUCUUGCACCAUGUUUGAGCUCAUCAUCUUUGAAAUCUUAGGAGUAUUGAAUAGCAGUGCAACAUUGCUGUGCAAAGCAAAGUUGGACCAGGGCAGAGUGAGAUAGCAGAGGAGCUGUGCCAGCGUCUACAGCGAAAGGAAAGGAUGCUGCAGGACCUUCUAAGUGAUCGAAACAAACUAGUGGUGGAAGAUGAAAUGGAGAUUCAAAGCCUGCUUCAGUCUAUGCACGCCAGGGAGCAGGAAAGCCAAAAGAGAGAAGAUGGUGCAAGCCUUAAUGGAAAGAAAUUCAGAAUUACAGGCCCUGUGCCAAUAUUUAGGAGGGAGAGACUCCCUGAUGUCCCAAGCACCCAUCUCUAACCAACAAGCUGAAGUUACCUACAUUGGCCCCUGCUCUUGGAGAAAAGACUGAUCAAUUUUUUAGGGUUCAAUACAGAUACCUUCCAGAGAUGGUAGCACUUCAUUGACUGCCAAAGAGGAUGCCAGCAUACUCAGAUCCACAUUAGGAGACUUGGACACAGUUGCAGGGCUGGAAAAAGAACUGAGUAAUGCCAAAGCGGAAUUUGAACUCAUGGCUAAAAAAGAAAGAAAAAGUCAAUUGCUGCUGAUGCUAGAAGGACUAGUAGAUGAAUGGAGUCAACUCAGUGAGGCCUUACAAGCAGAGAGACAGCUCUGUAGCAGUCUGGUGAAGUUCCAUGCCCAUCCAGAGAGCUCUGAGAGAGACCGAACUCUGCAAGUGGAACUGGAAGGGGCUCAGGUGUUACGCAGUCGGCUAGAAGAAGUUCUUGGAAGAAGCUUGGAGCGCUUAAACAGGCUGGAGACCCUGGCCGCCAUUGGAGGUGGGGAACUGGAAAGUGUGCAAAUUCAUCACAAGCAUGCCUACUGAGCACUGGCGGGUCAGACUGCAGCCCAGGAUGGAAAACCUUGUUUGCAAUAAGCAGAAAGAUCCUUGUCUGACUUUGACAGAAUUAAAUGGUGACUUACCAAUGAUAGAACUGGUACAAGUAGCAUCAACUACAAAGUGAAACUCACUUUAGCCUACAUGGAUCUCACUGUACAUACAUAUUCCUAAAUUGAAUGGUAGAGGUUGCAAAGUGUAUUUGCACAUUUUAAAUCAUUCUGUUUUAGUUUUUCCACUUUUAUUCAUUUGUAUCCCUAGCCCCUUCUCAUUCCCUUGUCCCUUCUGUGGGCCAAUAAAGUUUAUUCUUCCCCCAUUUUCACAAUCCAUUUCAUAUUUUCCAUAUCAUAUCAUAAAUGCAGGUGUGUGUAUUAUUUUUGCCAUUCAGUCAACUCCUCUUUGAGUGACAGCAUUUUUUAAAUUAAAAGAAUACAAGUUUUAAGAUGAGAGAGUGGGAAAGAGAUUGAGAGUCUGUAAGAAUGACUUCGUAAAAGUGAUAUAAUCCUUAUCAGAAGGUAAUCAAAACCAGGAGAGUAGUCUUGUAAUAGUAGACUGCAAGUAUUGGGAAGGCCAAGUUAAAGAACAGAGGCCAAAACUGUGAAAGUUAUCAUAGUAAAUUUUUAUCUCCAAUACUGUCUCAGAGUUGACUGUUGUACACAAGUGAAAUUAGAUUAGGUACAGAUUAAAUUCUAUUUAAAGUUUGUUCUUUAUUGAUACCUUUAGGUUUCUUUAAACUAAAGUCAUGCUAUUUAGUCAGAACAUGACUUCUAGAAUGGUCUUCCAGAGUCAGAAUUCUCUGUCUACAAAGAUAAUUUCAAAUGUAGCAUCCCUUUUUACAUUUAGUGUUUCACCAAAUAACUCAUUAUAGCCAAAGGAGGGUAUUGCUUCAUCCAUUUGUGGCACUAGAUAGGGUCCUAAGUUUUUCACUAUUUAGUAUGUAUACAUUUCUCUAUAUAAAAAGAAGUAAUCGGCUUCAGGCUUUGAAGUGCUCGAAUAGUUUAAAAAGAAAUGUUACAGAUGUAUGUUCAUAGUUUUAAUCAUUGUCUCAAUGCUUUUUUGUGGCAACAUGACAGGUAUAAGGAGAGGGGCACUGGAGAUUGUAUUUCUGAUGUCUUGACAGUCAAGAAUGUGAAAAGUAACCAAAAUUGCUUUGCUGCUUUGUGGGUUCAACAUCAUGAAUUUGUUUUUAUUUCCUCUGGUUUUAAGUUUCCUAGAUUAGAAACUGAGGUUUCAGUUACUUUAAACAUGGAAUUUGGAAACAGCUUUGUAGCAUAAUAAAUGUGACUGAAUACCCUUUCUAAACUAAGUGGGGCACAAUGAU